UACGUAGGGGGCUAGCGUUGUUCGGAAUUACUGGGCGUAAAGCGUGCGCAGGCGGCUUCUCAAGUCGGGGGUGAAAUCCUGGAGCUCAACUCCAGAACUGCCUUUGAUACUGGCGAUCUUGAGUUCGAGAGAGGUGAGUGGAACUGCGAGUGUAGAGGUGAAAUUCGUAGAUAUUCGCAAGAACACCAGUGGCGAAGGCGGCUCACUGGCUCGAUACUGACGCUGAGGUGCGAAAGCGUGGGGAGCAAACAGG
RNAcentral lists this ribosomal RNA (253 nucleotides) under uncultured bacterium. RNAcentral's name for it is "partial 16S ribosomal RNA". It matches the Rfam family "Bacterial small subunit ribosomal RNA", at positions 524 to 776 of the family's 1533-position model. The record is from RNAcentral.